Molecule: long non-coding RNA, 707 nt
Filed under: Brassica rapa (field mustard)
Lineage: Eukaryota; Viridiplantae; Streptophyta; Magnoliopsida; Brassicales; Brassicaceae
Description: long non-coding RNA (BRAP_LNC000771)
Source: RNAcentral
CCCACCCCGGGCGCCUCUCCCCACCCCGGGCGCCUCUCCUCAGGCCUCCUCUCUCCCGGCCCGCCUAUCCCCCUCUCUCUCCCCACUCUCUCUCUCUCCCCACUCUCUACUCUCCCCCUAUCUAUAUAUAUAUAUAUAAUUGCUCUUAAAAAAGUUUGACAAAAAAAAAAAAAAUUUGGUAAAAGCUUGAUAGAGUUCCUAUGCGGCAAAUGAAGAAGAUGGGCUGAGAACGAUCGUCGGACUUCUUGUUGUCUCUGGCAGCAAGCUCUCUAACACCUGAAUCACCACAGAUAUUAGAAAUCAGACAAUGAUUUUGGCUAAACAAAAAAAUCAGAUCUGAAUGGAAAUACUUACUUCAGCAGCGAGGUACUCGAGGAGGACGACGGCGCCAUGUAAACCGGGAGCUCCACCACUGAGUCUUUGAGCCUUUCUUCAGGAAACGAGUGGCUUUGAUCGAUUUCGAGACCGGUUUGGUCUUUGGGCCACCGAAACGCCUUGUUCCCUUUUUCCGGUGGUUUCUCCAUUGCACAGAAACGGGUUUACAAGAUUAGUAGAGAGAGAGAGAUUUAGUGGAAGGAGAUUGGAGGUUUUGUAUUUUUUUUUAGCGGUCUUCUUCGGACAACGAUAUCAUUGGAGAAGAAAGAAGGAGAAACAAUGGUUUGGUUGUCUGUCUGGUUAUAAUGUUUACGAGUUUGGUUUGUUGUCUG